UACGGUAGGGUGCAAGCGUUAAUCGGAAUUACUGGGCGUAAAGCGUGCGCAGGCGGUGAUGUAAGACAGGUGUGAAAUCCCCGGGCUUAACCUGGGAACUGCAUUUGUGACUGCAUCGCUGGAGUGCGGCAGAGGGGGAUGGAAUUCCGCGUGUAGCAGUGAAAUGCGUAGAUAUGCGGAGGAACACCGAUGGCGAAGGCAAUCCCCUGGGCCUGCACUGACGCUCAUGCACGAAAGCGUGGGGAGCAAACAGG
RNAcentral lists this ribosomal RNA (254 nucleotides) under uncultured bacterium. RNAcentral's name for it is "partial 16S ribosomal RNA". It matches the Rfam family "Bacterial small subunit ribosomal RNA", at positions 524 to 776 of the family's 1533-position model. The record is from RNAcentral.